RNAcentral lists this ribosomal RNA (253 nucleotides) under uncultured bacterium. RNAcentral describes it as "partial 16S ribosomal RNA". It matches the Rfam family "Bacterial small subunit ribosomal RNA", at positions 524 to 776 of the family's 1533-position model. The record is from RNAcentral.
UACGAAGGGGGCUAGCGUUGUUCGGAAUCACUGGGCGUAAAGCGCACGCAGGCGGAUCGAUAAGUCGGGGGUGGAAUCCCGGGGCUUAACCUCGGAAUUGCCUUCGAUACUGGCGGUCUCGAGUACGGGAGAGGUGAGUGGAAUUCCUAGUGUAGAGGUGAAAUUCGUAGAUAUUAGGAAGAACACCAGUGGCGAAGGCGGCUCACUGGCCCGGUACUGACGAUCAGGUGCGAAAGCGUGGGGAGCAAACCGG